CAAUGGCAGGUACAGAGGGGUGCUACCGGGUGACCGGAUGCCGAUCUCGAAAACCUGUCCCAGUUCGGACUGGAGUCUGCAACCCGACUCCACGAAGUUGGAUUCGCUAGUAAUCGCGCAUCAGCCAUGGCGCAGUGAAUACGUUCCCGGGCCUUGUACACACCGCCCGUCAAGCCAUGGGAGCCGGGGGCGCCUGAAGUCCGGGACCGCGAGGACCGGCCUAGGGCGAAACUGGUGACUGGGGCUAAGUCGUAACAAGGUAUC
This 264-nucleotide ribosomal RNA is filed under the name uncultured bacterium. Its description in RNAcentral is "partial 16S ribosomal RNA". It matches the Rfam family "Bacterial small subunit ribosomal RNA", at positions 1228 to 1500 of the family's 1533-position model. The record is from RNAcentral.